This 53-nucleotide transfer RNA is filed under the name Primula stricta. RNAcentral's name for it is "partial tRNA-Leu". Lineage: Eukaryota; Viridiplantae; Streptophyta; Magnoliopsida; Ericales; Primulaceae. The record is from RNAcentral.
AAAAUCCGUCGACUUUUUUAGAAAUCGUGAGGGUUCAAGUCCCUCUAUCCCCA